This 253-nucleotide ribosomal RNA is filed under the name uncultured bacterium. RNAcentral's name for it is "partial 16S ribosomal RNA". It matches the Rfam family "Bacterial small subunit ribosomal RNA", at positions 524 to 776 of the family's 1533-position model. The record is from RNAcentral.
UACGUAGGUGGCAAGCGUUGUUCGGAAUUAUUGGGCGUAAAGGGUGCGUAGGCGGCGCGGUAAGUCGGGUGUGAAAUCUCGGAGCUUAACUCCGAAACUGCAUUCGAUACUGCCGUGCUUGAGGACUGGAGAGGAGACUGGAAUUUACGGUGUAGCGGUGAAAUGCGUAGAUAUCGUAAGGAAGACCAGUGGCGAAGGCGGGUCUCUGGACAGUUCCUGACGCUGAGGCACGAAGGUCAGGGGAGCAAACGGG